Molecule: ribosomal RNA, 229 nt
Filed under: uncultured bacterium
Lineage: Bacteria
Description: partial 16S ribosomal RNA
Rfam family: Bacterial small subunit ribosomal RNA
Source: RNAcentral
UCCGUAGGCGGAUUGAUAAGUCAGAGGUGAAAUCCCACAGCUUAACUGUGGAACUGCCUUUGAAACUGUUAGUCUUGAGUUAUAUGGAAGUAGAUAGAAUGUGUAGUGUAGCGGUGAAAUGCAUAGAGAUUGCACAGAAUACCGAUUGCGAAGGCAGUCUACUACGUAUAUACUGACGCUAAUGGACGAAAGCGUGGGGAGCGAACAGGAUUAGAUACCCUGGUAGUCC